RNAcentral lists this ribosomal RNA (403 nucleotides) under uncultured bacterium. Its description in RNAcentral is "partial 16S ribosomal RNA". It matches the Rfam family "Bacterial small subunit ribosomal RNA", at positions 28 to 526 of the family's 1533-position model. The record is from RNAcentral.
GACGAACGCUGGCGGCGUGCCUAAUACAUGCAAGUCGAACGCAGUGGGGACGGGUGAGUAACACGUGGGUAACCUCCCAUCAGAGGGGAUAACACUUGGAAACAGGUGCUAAACCGAUACUGAUGGAUGGACCCGCGGUGCAUUAGCUAGUUGGUGAGGUAACGGCUCACCAAGGCCACGAUGCAUAGCUGGCCUGAGAGGAUGAUCGGCCACACUGGGACUGAGACACGGCCCAGACUCCUACGGGAGGCAGCAGUAGGGAAUCUUGCGCAAUGGACGAAAGUCUGACGGAGCAACGCCGCGUGAGUGAAGAAGGUUUUCGGGUCGUAAAGUACUUUUAUUAGAGAGGCGGUAUCUAAAGAAGAAGCCACGGCUAACUACGUGCCAGCAGCCGCGGUAAUUC